RNAcentral lists this ribosomal RNA (432 nucleotides) under uncultured bacterium. RNAcentral describes it as "partial 16S ribosomal RNA". It matches the Rfam family "Bacterial small subunit ribosomal RNA", at positions 338 to 795 of the family's 1533-position model. The record is from RNAcentral.
CCUACGGGAGGCAGCAGUAAGGAAUAUUGGUCAAUGGACGCAAGUCUGAACCAGCCAUGCCGCGUGAAGGAUGAAGGCCUCUGGGUUGUAAACUUCUUUUAUCUGGGAAGCGGUACCAGAGGAAUAAGCACCGGCUAACUCCGUGCCAGCAGCCGCGGUAAUACGGAGGGUGCAAGCGUUAUCCGGAUUCACUGGGUUUAAAGGGUGCGUAGGUGGGUUGGUAAGUCAGUGGUGAAAUCUCCGUGCUUAACAUGGAAACUGCCAUUGAUACUACUGAUCUUGAAUUUUCAGGAGGUAAGCGGAAUAUGUCAUGUAGCGGUGAAAUGCUUAGAUAUGACAUAGAACACCAAUUGCGAAGGCAGCUUACUACAGGAAAUUGACACUGAGGCACGAAAGCGUGGGGAUCAAACAGGAUUAGAUACCCUUGUAGUC